This 476-nucleotide ribosomal RNA is filed under the name uncultured bacterium. RNAcentral's name for it is "bacterial SSU rRNA". It matches the Rfam family "Bacterial small subunit ribosomal RNA", at positions 35 to 507 of the family's 1533-position model. The record is from RNAcentral.
GCUGGCGGCAGGCUUAACACAUGCAAGUCGAGCGGUAGCAGAUCUAGCUUGCUAGAUGCUGACGAGCGGCGGACGGGUGAGUAACGCGUAGGAACCUGCCCAGUAGUGGGGGAUAGCCCGGGGAAACUCGGAUUAAUACCGCAUACGCUCUACGGAGGAAAGAGGGGCUUCGGCUCUCGCUAUUGGAUGGGCCUGCGUGAGAUUAGCUAGUUGGUGAGGUAAUGGCUCACCAAGGCGACGAUCUCUAGCUGGUCUGAGAGGAUGACCAGCCACACUGGGACUGAGACACGGCCCAGACUCCUACGGGAGGCAGCAGUGGGGAAUAUUGCACAAUGGGCGCAAGCCUGAUGCAGCCAUGCCGCGUGUGUGAAGAAGGCUUUCGGGUUGUAAAGCACUUUCAGUGGGGAGGAAGGCCUCGUAGUUAAUAGCUGCGAGGAUUGACGUUACCCACAGAAGAAGCACCGGCUAACUCCGUG